AUGGCGUCCCCGCGUGCGCCCGACUGGCCCCGUGGCCUCAUCUUCGCACCCGGCGACGCCGAUCUCAUAACAAUCCACCUCCAGCGCAAGAGCUCCGGGUCCUCGCUCCACGCCGCCGACGCCCGGUACAUCCACAACGCGGACGUGUACGCGGCCGAGCCCGCCGCGCUCGUCAGCGGCCUCCUCCCCGCCUCGGCGAGGAGCGACGGCGAGGGCAGGGAGUGGUACUUCUUCACCUCCGUGCGGGCCCAGAGCAGCCGGGACACCCGCAGGUGCCGCGCCGUCGCGGGUGGGGCCGGCACCUGGCAUUCGGAGAAGGCGCGGUGCGUCGUGCUCGACGGGGGCGGCGCCGCCGUCGGGUACCGCCAAUCCUUCACCUACGAGCCCAAGAACGGCUGGCUGAUGCUCGAGUUCAGCCAACAAGAACCCCGCCGCGGCGAGGCCAUGCCCGUCCUCUGCAAAAUCUACCAGAAGCGUCGUGCCGGCCGGUCCGCCUCGAAGACGAUUUCGUCUGGGUCGUCGUCGAUGUCGGGAUCCAAGAGGAAGGCGGCGGCCGCGAACGAGCGCUCCGUCGAGGGUUCCUCGGCCCGCGUGAGGCGAUGCCUGCAGUUCGGUCUGCCUCCUGCCGCACCAAAUCCGCCCGCACUUGUUGCUACAUCGGAGAUUCAAGAAGCAUACUUGCUUUCAGCCCAGCGGCCGCAGGCAGAGCACGAACCAGAGGAGCCUCAAGAACCACCGGUACGCAUAGCACACACAGCCACACCGCUGAUUCCCAGCUUCUCCAUGGCCGCCGACCACGCCCUGACCUUGGACCGCACCGCCUUCCUCCGCCCCGCCCAAGAUUGGCCCAUGCCAGGGAAUUCGGACCUGAGCGACACGUCGACGGUACUACUGGGAAAUUAUGGCUUCGUCUCACCAGCCACCUCCGAGCUGAGCUGCUACAAUGCCACGACACCCUUGAGAGAUAACACCGGCGCUUGGGCCUUCCAGCCGUCCGCCCUGACCUCCUCCUAUGACACCACCUUCCUCCUCCCUGGCCAAGAUUGGGCCACACCAGAGUCGUCACAAGUCAGUGAGGCAUCGACGCUGGACAGCUACGGCUGCUUCUCGCCCGACCACGCCACAUCCAGGCCCACCACACAGCCGAUCAGCAAUGGCACCGGCUAUUGUUGGUCUUUCCCGCAGCACAGCGAGCUAUCAGCGAUUUUUGACGCCUGA
Molecule: ribosomal RNA, 1218 nt
Filed under: Triticum aestivum (bread wheat)
Lineage: Eukaryota; Viridiplantae; Streptophyta; Magnoliopsida; Poales; Poaceae
Description: partial small subunit ribosomal RNA
Source: RNAcentral